GAUGAAGAACGCAGCGAAAUGCGAUACUUGGUGUGAAUUGCAGAAUCCCGUGAACCAUCGAGUCUUUGAACGCAAGUUGCGCCCGAAGCCAUUAGGCCGAGGGCACGCCUGCCUGGGUGUCACACGUCGUUGCCCCCCCAUCUACUCCUUCGGGAUUGCGGGGGGCGGAUGAUGGCCUCCCGUGCGCCUCGUCGCGCGGUUGGCAUAAAUGCCAAGUCCUCGGCGACGCACGCCACGACAAUCGGUGGUUGCGAAACCUCGGUUGCCCGUCGUGUGCGGUCGUCGCGCAUCGAGGGCUCGAAAAAAUUGCCGGGCUCCGGCUCGGCUUUCAACGCGACCCCAGGUCAGGCGGGGUUACCCGCUGAGUUUAAGCAUAUCAAAAGCGGAGGA
RNAcentral lists this unclassified non-coding RNA (390 nucleotides) under soil metagenome. RNAcentral's name for it is "partial contains 5.8S ribosomal RNA, internal transcribed spacer 2, and large subunit ribosomal RNA". The stretch from base 1 to 122 matches the Rfam family "5.8S ribosomal RNA", at positions 35 to 154 of the family's 154-position model. The record is from RNAcentral.